ACUUGAAUUGAAGAGUUUGAUCAUGGCUCAGAUUGAACGCUGGCGGCAGGCUUAACACAUGCAAGUCGAACGGUAGCAGGAGAAAGCUUGCUUUCUUGCUGACGAGUGGCGGACGGGUGAGUAAUGCUUGGGAAUCUGGCUUAUGGAGGGGGAUAACGACGGGAAACUGUCGCUAAUACCGCGUAUUAUCGGAAGAUGAAAGUGCGGGACUGAGAGGCCGCAUGCCAUAGGAUGAGCCCAAGUGGGAUUAGGUAGUUGGUGGGGUAAAGGCCUACCAAGCCUGCGAUCUCUAGCUGGUCUGAGAGGAUGACCAGCCACACUGGAACUGAGACACGGUCCAGACUCCUACGGGAGGCAGCAGUGGGGAAUAUUGCGCAAUGGGGGGAACCCUGACGCAGCCAUGCCGCGUGAAUGAAGAAGGCCUUAGGGUUGUAAAGUUCUUUCGGUAUUGAGGAAGGUUGAUGUGUUAAUAGCACAUCAAAUUGACGUUAAAUACAGAAGAAGCACCGGCUAACUCCGUGCCAGCAGCCGCGGUAAUACGGAGGGUGCGAGCGUUAAUCGGAAUAACUGGGCGUAAAGGGCACGCAGGCGGUUAUUUAAGUGAGGUGUGAAAGCCCUGGGCUUAACCUAGGAAUUGCAUUUCAGACUGGGUAACUAGAGUACUUUAGGGAGGGGUAGAAUUCCACGUGUAGCGGUGAAAUGCGUAGAGAUGUGGAGGAAUACCGAAGGCGAAGGCAGCCCCUUGGGAAUGUACUGACGCUCAUGUGCGAAAGCGUGGGGAGCAAACAGGAUUAGAUACCCUGGUAGU
Molecule: ribosomal RNA, 808 nt
Filed under: Haemophilus influenzae 60294N1
Lineage: Bacteria; Pseudomonadati; Pseudomonadota; Gammaproteobacteria; Pasteurellales; Pasteurellaceae
Description: bacterial SSU rRNA
Rfam family: Bacterial small subunit ribosomal RNA
Source: RNAcentral